RNAcentral lists this ribosomal RNA (253 nucleotides) under uncultured bacterium. RNAcentral describes it as "partial 16S ribosomal RNA". It matches the Rfam family "Bacterial small subunit ribosomal RNA", at positions 524 to 776 of the family's 1533-position model. The record is from RNAcentral.
UACGAAGGGGGCUAGCGUUGCUCGGAAUCACUGGGCGUAAAGCGCACGUAGGCGGAUCUUUAAGUCAGGGGUGAAAUCCCGAGGCUCAACCUCGGAACUGCCUUUGAUACUGGGGAUCUCGAGUCCGGAAGAGGUUGGUGGAACUCCGAGUGUAGAGGUGAAAUUCGUAGAUAUUGGGAAGAACACCAGUGGCGAAGGCGGCUCACUGGACCGGUAUUGACGCUGAGGUGCGAAAGCGUGGGGAGCAAACAGG